This 743-nucleotide ribosomal RNA is filed under the name Salmonella enterica subsp. houtenae serovar 50:z4,z23:-. Its description in RNAcentral is "partial 23S ribosomal RNA". It matches the Rfam family "Bacterial large subunit ribosomal RNA", at positions 711 to 1366 of the family's 2925-position model. The record is from RNAcentral. Lineage: Bacteria; Pseudomonadati; Pseudomonadota; Gammaproteobacteria; Enterobacterales; Enterobacteriaceae.
AGACCCGAAACCCGGUGAUCUAGCCAUGGGCAGGUUGAAGGUUGGGUAACACUAACUGGAGGACCGAACCGACUAAUGUUGAAAAAUUAGCGGAUGACCUGUGGCUGGGGGUGAAAGGCCAAUCAAACCGGGAGAUAGCUGGUUCUCCCCGAAAGCUAUUUAGGUAGCGCCUCGUGAAUUCAUCUCCGGGGGUAGAGCACUGUUUCGGCCAGGGGGCCAUCCCGGCUUACCAAUCCGAUGCAAACUGCGAAUACCGGAGAAUGUUAUCACGGGAGACACACGGCGGGUGCUAACGUCCGUCGUGAAGAGGGAAACAACCCAGACCGCCAGCUAAGGUCCCAAAGUCAUGGUUAAGUGGGAAACGAUGUGGGAAGGCCCAGACAGCCAGGAUGUUGGCUUAGAAGCAGCCAUCAUUUAAAGAAAGCGUAAUAGCUCACUGGUCGAGUCGGCCUGCGCGGAAGAUGUAACGGGGCUAAACCAUGCACCGAAGCUGCGGCAGCGAACGUAUCACCCAAGACAACUUUACACAGUUGACGCCUGACGGAGCGAAGCGACGUCAAAGCGUUUUACAACGUCGAGUUGGCUUAGGGAUACGUUCGUUGGGUAGGGGAGCGUUCUGUAAGCCGUUGAAGGUGUGUCGUGAGGCAUGCUGGAGGUAUCAGAAGUGCGAAUGCUGACAUAAGUAACGAUAAAGCGGGUGAAAAGCCCGCUCGCCGGAAGACCAAGGGUUCCUGUCCAACGUU